RNA transcript from Chlorocebus sabaeus (green monkey), 4727 nucleotides. It is a transcript of the gene named zinc finger protein 335, with no coding region annotated. NCBI's taxonomy places the organism in Eukaryota, Metazoa, Chordata, Mammalia, Primates, Cercopithecidae. The record is from RefSeq and is a predicted model, not a curated record.
ACACCCACUCCUAUGUAACACUCCGCCAGGAGAUAAAGUAGUCCCCAACCCAUAGUGGGCCCCAUGCCAAAUGUUAGCCGACGUAUAAAAUCCCAGAGUCUCUUCAGACCCGAUUAUGGUUUUGAGGCCUCGGAGCGACCUUCCGGAACACUGAAAAUGUGUCUUUCCCGGGGCCAGCGGGAGAAGUAGUUCCGGCCUACAAUAGGCCGAUGGGUUCCUCCGCAGCGGGGGAAAGAGGAUGGCGACCUCGUCGAUGCCGGAGUCAGAGAGGAACGUGGCUACGAAAGCCUCAGAGUGAAGUCCCCAGACCCUACGCCACGCUGUCAGGCAGCCCGCUGAUCCGAUGGAGGAGAACGAGGUGGAGAGCAGCAGCGACGCGGCCCCUGGGCCUGGCCGGCCCGAGGAGCCCUCUGAGAGCGGCCUGGGUGUGGGCACCUCGGAAGCCGUGUCGGCCGACAGCAGCGACGCCGCGGCCGCCCCGGGGCAGGCAGAGGCCGAUGACUCUGGCGUGGGGCAAAGCUCGGACCGCGGCAGCGGCUCUCAGGAGGAGGUAUCCGAGAGCAGCUCGAGCGCAGACCCCCUGCCUAAUGGCUACCUCCCUGAUUCAUCGUCUGUGUCCCAUGGGCCAGUGGCAGGGGUGACAGGCGGUCCCCCAGCACUUGUGCACUCUAGUGCACUCCCAGACCCCAACAUGCUGGUGUCUGACUGCACAGCUUCCUCCUCGGACCUGGGCUCAGCCAUCGACAAGAUCAUCGAGUCCACCAUCGGGCCCGACCUCAUCCAGAGCUGCAUCACUGUGACCAGUGCCGAGGAUGGCGGGGCCGAGACCACGAGGUACCUGAUCCUGCAGGGCCCAGAUGAUGGAGCCCCCAUGACAUCACCAAUGUCCAGUUCCACCUUGGCCCACAGCCUGGCAGCCAUUGAGGCCCUGGCAGAUGGCCCCACAUCCACAUCCACAUGCCUGGAGCCACCUGAGGAGGCACAGGGUGGGCCCAGCUCCCCGGUGCAGCUGCCUCCAGCCUCUGGUGCUGAAGAACCAGACCUGCAGAGCCUGGAGGCCAUGAUGGAGGUGGUGGUGGUGCAGCAGUUCAAGUGCAAGAUGUGCCAGUACCGGAGCAGCACCAAGGCCACACUGCUGCGCCACAUGCGGGAGCGCCACUUCCGUCCAGUAGCAGCAGCCACAGCAGCAUCUGGUAAAAAAGGACGUCUACGGAAGUGGAGCACCUCCACCAAGACCCAAGAGGAAGAGGGACCGGAGGAGGAGGACGAUGACGACAUUGUAGACGCUGGAGCCAUUGAUGACCUGGAGGAGGAUAGCGACUAUAAUCCAGCUGAGGAUGAGCCCCGAGGCCGGCAGCUUCGGCUCCAGCGCCCCACCCCCAGUACCCCAAGGCCCCGAAGGAGACCUGGCCGGCCCCGGAAGCUGCCCCGCCUGGAGAUCUCAGACCUCCCAGAUGGUGUGGAAGGAGAGCCUCUAGUGAGUUCCCAGAGUGGACAGAGCCCUCCAGAGCCACAGGAUCCUGAGGCUCCCAGCUCCUCAGGCCCAGGACACCUGGUGGCCAUGGGCAAGGCAAACAGGACCCCUGUGGAAGCUGGUGUGAGCCAGUCAGAUGCAGAGAACGCAGCUCCCUCCUGCCCGGAUGAGCAUGACACUCCACCCCGGCGCCGAGGUCGACCUUCCAGGCGCUUCCUAGGCAAGAAAUACCGCAAGUACUAUUACAAGUCGCCCAAACCGCUUUUGAGGCCCUUCCUGUGCCGCAUCUGUGGUUCUCGCUUUCUGUCCCACGAGGACCUGCGCUUCCACGUCAACUCCCAUGAGGCUGGCGAUCCCCAGCUCUUCAAGUGCCUGCAGUGCAGCUAUCGUUCCCGCCGCUGGUCCUCUCUCAAGGAGCACAUGUUCAACCACGUGGGCAGCAAGCCCUACAAGUGUGACGAGUGCAGCUACACCAGUGUCUACCGGAAGGACGUCAUUCGGCACGCCGCUGUGCACAGCCGAGACCGGAAGAAGAGGCCAGAUCCGACUCCAAAGCUGAGCUCUUUCCCCUGCCCUGUGUGUGGCCGUGUGUACCCCAUGCAGAAAAGACUUACGCAGCACAUGAAGACGCACAGCACUGAGAAGCCCCACAUGUGUGACAAGUGUGGAAAGUCCUUUAAGAAGCGCUACACCUUCAAAAUGCACCUGCUCACACACAUCCAGGCUGUUGCCAACCGCAGGUUCAAGUGUGAGUUCUGUGAGUUCGUUUGUGAAGACAAGAAGGCACUGCUGAACCACCAGUUGUCCCACGUCAGUGACAAGCCCUUCAAAUGCAGCUUUUGUCCCUACCGCACCUUCCGAGAGGACUUCCUGCUGUCCCAUGUGGCUGUCAAGCACACAGGGGCCAAGCCCUUUGCCUGUGAGUACUGCCACUUCAGCACACGGCACAAGAAAAACCUACGCCUGCACGUACGGUGCCGACAUGCAAGCAGCUUCGAGGAAUGGGGGAGGCGCCACCCUGAGGAGCCCCCCUCCCGCCGUCGCCCCUUCUUCUCUCUGCAGCAGAUUGAGGAGCUGAAGCAGCAGCACAGUGUGGCCCCUGGACCACCUCCCAGCUCCCCAGGACCUCCUGAGAUACCCCCAGAGGCGACACCUUUCCAGUCAUCUGAGGCUCCCUCACUGCUCUGUCCUGACACCCUGGGCGGCGCCACCAUCAUCUACCAGCAAGGAGCCGAGGAGUCGACAGCGAUGGCCACGCAGACAGCCUUGGAUCUUCUACUGAACAUGAGUGCCCAGCGGGAACUGGGGGGCACAGCCCUGCAGGUGGCUGUGGUGAAGUCGGAGGACGUGGAAGCAGGGUUAGCAUCCCCUGGUGGGCAGCCCUCCCCUGAAGGUGCCACUCCACAGGUGGUCACCCUCCAUGUGGCAGAGCCAGGGGGCGGUGUGGCAGCCGAGAGCCAGCUAGGCCCUCCUGACCUACCACAGAUCACCCUGGCACCUGGUCCAUUUGGUGGGACUGGCUACAGUGUCAUCACGGCACCCCCUAUGGAGGAGGGAACAUCAGCUCCUGGCACACCUUACAGCGAGGAGCCCUCAGGAGAGGCAGCCCAGACUGUGGUUGUGAGUGACACCCUAAAAGAAGCUGGCACCCACUACAUCAUGGCUACUGAUGGUACCCAGUUGCACCACAUUGAGCUCACCGCAGAUGGCUCCAUCUCCUUCCCAAGUCCAGAUGCUCUGGCCUCUGGUGCCAAAUGGCCCCUGCUGCAGUGUGGGGGGCUGCCGAGAGAUGGCCCUGAGCCUCCAUCUCCAGCCAGCACCCACCGUGUAGGGGACCCCCCGAGCUCUGCCUCCCCACCUCCUGCAACCAGCAAAGCCCUGGGCCUGGCAGUGCCCCCCUCACCGCCGUGUGCAGCCACUGCAGCAUCAAAGAAGUUUUCCUGCAAGAUCUGUGCCGAGGCCUUCCCUGGCCGAGCUGAGAUGGAGAGUCACAAGCGGGCCCAUGCUGGGCCUGGUGCCUUCAAGUGCCCCGACUGCCCCUUCAGUGCCCGCCAGUGGCCCGAGGUCCGGGCGCACAUGGCGCAGCACUCAAGCCUGCGGCCCCACCAGUGUAGCCAGUGCAGUUUCGCCUCCAAGAAUAAGAAGGACCUGCGGCGGCACAUGCUGACUCACACCAAGGAGAAGCCGUUUGCAUGCCACCUCUGCGGGCAGCGUUUCAACCGUAACGGGCACCUCAAGUUCCAUAUCCAGCGGCUGCACAGUCCCGAUGGGAGGAAGUCAGGAACCCCUACAGCCCGGGCUGCUACCCAGACCCCAACCCAGACCAUCAUCCUCAACAGUGAUGACGAAACACUGGCCACCCUGCACAGUUUUCCUGGACCUCACGUGAGCAUCCUCUCCUCUCUGCCCAGCCGCACUCCAGUCCAGUCACGGGGUCCUGGGCCCAGAGCGGCUACAGCAGGCACUGGGCCAGGAACAUAUCAUCGUUGCCCAGGAGCAGACAGUGACCAAUCAGGAGGAAGCCACCUACAUCCAAGAGAUCACCACAGCAGAUGGCCAGACUGUACAGCACCUGGUGACCUCCGACAACCAGGUGCAGUAUAUCAUCUCCCAGGAUGGUGUCCAGCACCUGCUCCCCCAGGAAUAUGUUGUGGUCCCCGAGGGCCAUCACAUCCAGGUACAGGAGGGCCAGAUCACACACAUCCAGUAUGAACAAGGAGCCCCGUUCCUUCAGGAGUCCCAGAUCCAGUAUGUGCCUGUGUCCCCAGGCCAGCAGCUUGUCACACAGGCUCAACUUGAGGCUGCAGCACACUCGGCUGUCACAGCAGUGGCUGAUGCUGCCAUGGCCCAAGCCCAAGGCCUGUUUGGCACAGAGGAGGCAGUGCCUGAACACAUUCAACAGCUGCAGCACCAGGGCAUCGAGUACGACGUCAUCACCCUGGCCGAUGACUGAGCCCUGAGGGCCCGACACAGAUCAUGGAUUUGAGGCCAGCCCUCCUGGGGGUGGGGGGCCACCAGGACUCACCUCCCUCUUCAUUUAGUAUCUCCAGAUACUGGACAGCCAGCAUCCUCUCAUUCCUAGGGAGCCAGACCUGUGCUGUUGGGGUUAGGGGCAGCCAUGGGCCCCGGCCAAGACGUGCUGGGUGCCCCAGCCUGCAGGCAGGCUUUGGGAUAGAAAUUUAUUUUUGUUUGGGUGGACCCACUGGCCUCUCAGUCUCAAUAAAGGGACUGGAGUCCAGUCCUGAACAGCUUA